Pelobates cultripes (western spadefoot toad) is the source of this 112-nucleotide non-coding RNA. NCBI's taxonomy places the organism in Eukaryota, Metazoa, Chordata, Amphibia, Anura, Pelobatidae. The record is from the annotation of a GenBank genome assembly.
GUAUGUAUCAAGGUAGCCCACAAUUGUUACCUUCAAUAUAUAUAUAUAUAUAUAUAUAUAUAUAUAUAUAUAUAUAUUGAAGGUAACAAUUGUGGGCUACCUUGAUACCCAG